RNAcentral lists this ribosomal RNA (497 nucleotides) under uncultured bacterium. RNAcentral describes it as "partial 16S ribosomal RNA". It matches the Rfam family "Bacterial small subunit ribosomal RNA", at positions 28 to 507 of the family's 1533-position model. The record is from RNAcentral.
GAUGAACGCUGGCGGCGUGCCUAAUACAUGCAAGUCGAGCGAACAGACGAGGAGCUUGCUCCUCUGACGUUAGCGGCGGACGGGUGAGUAACACGUGGAUAACCUACCUAUAAGACUGGGAUAACUUCGGGAAACCGGAGCUAAUACCGGAUAAUAUAUUGAACCGCAUGGUUCAAUAGUGAAAGACGGUUUUGCUGUCACUUAUAGAUGGAUCCGCGCCGCAUUAGCUAGUUGGUAAGGUAACGGCUUACCAAGGCGACGAUGCGUAGCCGACCUGAGAGGGUGAUGGGACGCACUGGAACUGAGACACGGUCCAGAAUACUACGGGAGGAAGCAGUAGGGAAGAUUACGCAAUGGGCGAAAGCCUGACGGAGCAAUGAAGAGUGAGUGAUGAAGGUCUUAGGAUCGUAAAACUCUGUUAGUAGGGAAGAACAAAUGUGUAAGUAAAUAUGCACGUCUUGACGGUACCUAAUCAGAGAGCCACGGCUAACUACGUG